This 1329-nucleotide unclassified non-coding RNA is filed under the name uncultured Neocallimastigales. Its description in RNAcentral is "partial contains small subunit ribosomal RNA, internal transcribed spacer 1, 5.8S ribosomal RNA, internal transcribed spacer 2, and large subunit ribosomal RNA". The stretch from base 593 to 1329 matches the Rfam family "Eukaryotic large subunit ribosomal RNA", at positions 1 to 617 of the family's 3401-position model. The record is from RNAcentral. Lineage: Eukaryota; Fungi; Neocallimastigomycota; Neocallimastigomycetes; Neocallimastigales.
UUUCCGUAGGUGAACCUGCGGAAGGAUCAUUAAUAAUGGUCUACGUUUUUUAAGUAGACGCUUAAUAAUCCUACCCUUUGUGAUUUGUUUGUUUGAAAUAAUUUUUUUUAAAAUAUUGAAUGUCUUUCCCUGUUGAAUUGGUUGUCUUAAUGGCAAAUGAUUCGCAGGGAGUGUCAUAAUUUUAAAAAGACUUUUUUAAAUUAAACUUUUUGUAUUCAUUUGUCUAAAUUAUUUUUAUAAUAUAAAACAACUUUGACAAUGAUCUCUUGGUUCUCGCAACGAUGAAGAACGCAGCAAAUGCGAUAAGUAGUGUGAAUGCAGAAUACGUGAAUCAUCGAAUCUUCGAACGCAUAUUGCACUUUUUAGUUUACUAAAAAGUAUGUCUGUUGAGUAUCAGUAAAAUAUUCUCAUAAAACUUUUUGUUUUUAUGGUUAUGAGUGUUUACAACGAUACAAGUUGUUUCACUUUAAUUUUUUAAAAUUUGAAUUUUCUAAUUUUAAAAUAAAAUUGGAUAAAUUUCCGUAAAAAGGAAUAACCUAAACAAUUUUAAUUUUUGAUUAGAAUCCAACUAAAGGAAAUUUAACUAAAUAACUGAUCUCAAAUCAGAUAAGAGUACCGCUGAACUUAAGCAUAUCAAUAAGCGGAGGAAAAGAACUAACAAGGAUUCCCUUAGUAACGGCGAGUGAAGCGGGAAGAGCUCAAAUUUGAAAUCUUCAAGGUUUUACCUUGACGAAUUGUAGUUUAAAGAAGUGUUUUCUGUUGAAGUUUGGUAAAGUUCUUUGGAAUAGGACAUCAUAGAGGGUGAGAAUCCCGUAUUUGACCAUUAUUUUCAGCUGUGUGAUACACUUUCAAAGAGUCGGAUUGUUUGGGAAUGCAGUCCAAAAUGGGUGGUAAAUUCAUCUAAAGCUAAAUAUUGGCGAGAGACCGAUAGCGAACAAGUACCGUGAGGGAAGAUGAAAAGAACUUUGAAAAGAGAGUUAAACAGUACGUGAAAUUGUCAAAAGGGAAGCGUUGACACCAGUGUUGUUUCUCGAAAUCAAUUAAAAAAGUUGGAUUUUGUGUUGUAUUGACCUUAACAGCUUGCUUCACUCUUUCUUGCUUUUUUAUGCACUUUCGUUUAACAAGUCAACAUCAGUUCUUUUGUUGUAAAAGGUCAUUGGAAGGUGGCUUUCUCUUCGGAGAAAGUGUUUAUAGCCUUUGAUCCUGCAAUCGAGAGACUGAGGUCUGCAGCGUAGAUCCUUCGGGUUAGAUACAUUGUGCUAAGCUACAGCUUUUCAUAGACAACUUGUUGACUAUGUUUAGUCUGUAACUUACCCGCUUAUGCUAUUU